This 370-nucleotide long non-coding RNA is filed under the name Salmo salar (Atlantic salmon). Its description in RNAcentral is "lncRNA (ENSSSAG00000101592.1, ENSSSAG00000109213.1)". The record is from RNAcentral. Lineage: Eukaryota; Metazoa; Chordata; Actinopteri; Salmoniformes; Salmonidae.
AUGGUGGUGUGUAAUAGUGGUAUAUAGAUGGUGGUGUGUAUUAGUGGUAUAUAGAUGGUGGUGUGUAAUAGUGGUAUAUAGAUGUUAGGUGGUGGUGUGUAAUAGUGGUAUAUAGAUGGUGGUGUGUAAUAGUGGUAUAUAGAUGGUGGUGUGUAAUAGUGGUAUAUAGAUGGUGGUGUGUAAUAGUGGUAUAUAGAUGGUGGUAUGUAAUAGUGGUAUAUAGAUGGUGGUGUGUAAUAGUGGUAUAUAGAUGGUGGUAUGUAAUAGUGGUAUAUAGAUGGUGGUGUGUAAUAGUGGUAUAUAGAUGGUGGUGUGUAAUAGUGGUAUAUAGGUGGUGGUGGUGUGUAAUAGUGGUAUAUAGAUGGUGGUG